Mytilus californianus (California mussel) is the source of this 1967-nucleotide long non-coding RNA. RefSeq lists it as uncharacterized. The record is from RefSeq and is a predicted model, not a curated record. The transcript has 2 exons. Lineage: Eukaryota; Metazoa; Mollusca; Bivalvia; Mytilida; Mytilidae.
UUAAAGGCAGUGCUUUAAUGCCUUUCUAGUUGCCGUGUUAAUCUUUCUUUCCGCGAUAUCCAACUCAUCUACGUGGGGGGUCAUUAGGCUCCAAGUAGAUCCGGAAAAUGUUGAUUAUCUCCUCUUCUUAUUGUGAUAUAAAAUGUUUUUUGUUUCAUUUCAUUUACAUUGGGAAAUAGAGAAACGAUCAUCGUGUUUUGUUAGUUUUAAAAACUUUUGAUAUAUUUGUAUUUUACAUUAUAAGCAGUCAACCGAUUGACAAACUAGAAUUAUUUGAAUUCCGUGUGGAAAGAGGUCGGGUUAAUUUCGAGUGUUAUCUGCAAUCUAGAUGUUUAUAAAUCAUUUCAGUCGUUGAUAUAAUAAUUAAAGGUCGACUGAACAUGAAUUAUAUUAUACAAUUUAAAGCGCAUUUCUGUUUAUGCACGCGAACCCGUCUAACGUUAUUGUUAUUUCGCAGUUAUAUAAAGUAGCAAAUUAUCGUUCCUGAAUAGGUGGCGCCGUGGUAGCCUAUCCUGUUCUUCAACUUCCGGUUUCUGCACUGUGCAACUAUUACAGUUGCAUUUUUAAUUAACGAUGCCAAGUACUUGUUGUUGUGUACCUGGAUGUCAUUUAAGAGGAGGACAUGCAUUUCCAAAUGACUUAAAAAGAAGGAAAAGUUGGAUCAACGCCAUGGCCCAUACGCAGAUUGGACGAGAACACGAUGAAAUCGUGGAGUCCAUCUCAAUCAGCUGUUGUUUGCAAGGCACAUUUUACUGAAAAAGACUACGUGCAGGAAACUAUUCAUGGGCGCAAACCCACCAUACAGAGACUUAAGUCUACUGCCAUUCCCAGCCUAUUUUCCUGGACCAAGCAAGAGACUGAAUCGUUCGCAAAAAGAAAAAUCAGGGCAGUUUCCUGUGAAAACAAAAGAACUAAACUUGAUGAAUAAUGUAGUAGAAAUCUAGAGGAAAGUUUUGAUUGUAAAGUUGGUUUUCCUGAAGAAGUCAUUCAUACUGCAGACAGGAUUUAUGACUGUCCACCACCAACUGCCGAGCUAAUGUUGAGCUUCACAGAUGGAAUUACGCAAACACCAUCAAUGCCUAUAUUUUCAGCAGAGAAUUUUGAAAUGAAGACACGUGACACAGCCAUGCAUUUUUAUACCGGUUUAGAGUUGUAUACUAAAUUUUUAUUUGUUUUGACCACACUUGGUCCAGCAGCACAUUGUUUGAGAUACAUAUAUUUUCAAAUUGAUAGGGUGUCAUUUGAAAAUCAGUUUUUUUAUGACUUUGAUGAAAUUGAGGCAUUAUACAACCAACUUUGAACUGUCUAGAUUCUAGAUUGAAACUAGUGUUAAGAAUAUUGUGUAAACACGGAUUGUUUUUAUGUCUUAACAGUGGCGUGAGGCUAACACUUGGCCAUUUAGUGGUUUAGUCAUGUAUUUUUCGCCAUCCAACUUCAAAUUAAAGUUUCCUACAACUUGGAUUAUUAUCGACAGCACAGAAUAUCCCGUGAUAAAACCUAAAGCUCCUAGAGCUCAGGCAACCUUUUCAUCAUAUAAAAACAGAAACACUGAAAAUACUUGUAUGUUCGACACCUGGUGGUUUAGUCAACUAUGUCUCUAAUGCAUAUGUUGGUUGUACCAGUGACUGUGAAAUAGUUGAAAGAUGUAGAAUAGUUCAGUUAUGUGAUCCAGGUGACAGUGUGAUGGCAGACAAAGGUUUAAAUGUGCAAGAUUUGUUUGCUCACUUUUUUCAAAAAAAGAAACAGAAUUAGUUCCAAAACUCUUAUACUGGAUAAAAAAGUCUCCAAUUAACACAUGCACAUAGAGCUAAUUAUUGGACUUGGCAAAACAUACAAAAUUCUAAUAAAUCCUAUGAAUGGAACUGAAACAAAACUUUCAUCUGAUAUAACAUUUAGUUGUUUUAUGUUGUGUAAUUUUAGAACUUGUAUUGUGCCAAAGGAUGCAUAAAUAAAAGUGACACAAUGAA